Molecule: long non-coding RNA, 392 nt
Organism: Ornithorhynchus anatinus (platypus)
Lineage: Eukaryota; Metazoa; Chordata; Mammalia; Monotremata; Ornithorhynchidae
Exons: 3
Source: RefSeq, a predicted model, not a curated record
GAGGGGAAAUAGGAAAAAUUAAUUGGGGACUACAUUUCCCAGAACCCUUUGGGGGAAAAGAGCCAAUCAAUCUGGGCAGGACUUUUCAAUUUCAGAGGAAGAAGUAGCCGUCGUUGCUCUCUGAGGUUUCAGUCCCUGCCUGCCUUCCACAAAAUUGUACCAGUUGUCUUGUGAAAGAUCUUUUCCACGCCAUUGAAGAGGUGGGGCGAACAAGAUUCCCGGGGAUCAGAGGGAUGAAAAGAAUUGACCGGUUUAAGCAGCAGCUGUGGAUCAUUGGAGGGAUGUGCAUUAGCCAUCCGGCCACAGGGAAAUCUAUCUUCUGCAUAUGCCGUGUUGCUCGUGAGACUGUUGUCGGAUCAAAUGUCCGUUCUAACCGGGAAGAGGUCGUACAC